UUUACGGAGAGUUUGAUCCUGGCUCAGGAUGAACGCUGGCGGCGUGCUUAACACAUGCAAGUCGAACGGUGAACGAGGAAGCUUGCUUCCUCCGGAUCAGUGGCGAACGGGUGAGUAACACGUGAGUAACCUGCCCUUGACUCUGGGAUAAGCGUUGGAAACGACGUCUAAUACCGGAUACGACCUACGAAGGCAUCUUCUGUAGGUGGAAAGAAUUUCGGUCAAGGAUGGACUCGCGGCCUAUCAGCUAGUUGGUGAGGUAAUGGCCCACCAAGGCGACGACGGGUAGCCGGCCUGAGAGGGUGACCGGCCACACUGGGACUGAGACACGGCCCAGACUCCUACGGGAGGCAGCAGUGGGGAAUAUUGCACAAUGGGCGCAAGCCUGAUGCAGCAACGCCGCGUGAGGGACGACGGCCUUCGGGUUGUAAACCUCUUUUAGUAGGGAAGAAGCGAAAGUGACGGUACCUGCAGAAAAAGCACCGGCUAACUACGUGCCAGCAGCCGCGGUAAUACGUAGGGUGCAAGCGUUAUCCGGAAUUAUUGGGCGUAAAGAGCUCGUAGGCGGUUUGUCGCGUCUGCUGUGAAAACUGGGGGCUCAACCCCCAGCCUGCAGUGGGUACGGGCAGACUAGAGUGCGGUAGGGGAGAUUGGAAUUCCUGGUGUAGCGGUGGAAUGCGCAGAUAUCAGGAGGAACACCGAUGGCGAAGGCAGAUCUCUGGGCCGUAACUGACGCUGAGGAGCGAAAGCAUGGGGAGCGAACAGGAUUAGAUACCCUGGUAGUCCAUGCCGUAAACGUUGGGAACUAGAUGUAGGGACCAUUCCACGGUUUCUGUGUCGCAGCUAACGCAUUAAGUUCCCCGCCUGGGGAGUACGGCCGCAAGGCUAAAACUCAAAGGAAUUGACGGGGGCCCGCACAAGCGGCGGAGCAUGCGGAUUAAUUCGAUGCAACGCGAAGAACCUUACCAAGGCUUGACAUAUACCGGAAAAGUUCAGAAAUGUUCUCCCCGCAAGGUCGGUAUACAGGUGGUGCAUGGUUGUCGUCAGCUCGUGUCGUGAGAUGUUGGGUUAAGUCCCGCAACGAGCGCAACCCUCGUUCUAUGUUGCCAGCACGUAAUGGUGGGAACUCAUAGGAGACUGCCGGGGUCAACUCGGAGGAAGGUGGGGAUGACGUCAAAUCAUCAUGCCCCUUAUGUCUUGGGCUUCACGCAUGCUACAAUGGCCGAUACAAAGGGCUGCAAUACCGUAAGGUGGAGCGAAUCCCAAAAAGUCGGUCUCAGUUCGGAUUGAGGUCUGCAACUCGACCUCAUGAAGUCGGAGUCGCUAGUAAUCGCAGAUCAGCAACGCUGCGGUGAAUACGUUCCCGGGCCUUGUACACACCGCCCGUCAAGUCAUGAAAGUCGGUAACACCCGAAGCCGGUGGCCCAACCUUUUGGAGGGAGCCGUCGAAGGUGGGAUCGGUGAUUAGGACUAAGUCGUAACAAGGUAGCCGUACCGGAAGGUGCGGCUGGAUCACCUCCUUUCUAAGGA
Molecule: ribosomal RNA, 1530 nt
Filed under: Galbitalea soli
Lineage: Bacteria; Bacillati; Actinomycetota; Actinomycetes; Micrococcales; Microbacteriaceae
Description: bacterial SSU rRNA
Rfam family: Bacterial small subunit ribosomal RNA
Source: RNAcentral